GACGAACGCUGGCGGCGUGCUUAACACAUGCAAGUCGAACGGAAAGGCCCUGCUUUUGUGGGGUGCUCGAGUGGCGAACGGGUGAGUAACACGUGAGUAACCUGCCCUUGACUUUGGGAUAACUUCAGGAAACUGGGGCUAAUACCGGAUAGGAGCUCCUGCUGCAUGGGGGGGGUUGGAAAGUUUCGGCGGUUGGGGAUGGACUCGCGGCUUAUCAGCUUGUUGGUGGGGUAGUGGCUUACCAAGGCUUUGACGGGUAGCCGGCCUGAGAGGGUGACCGGCCACCUUGGGACUGCGGUACGGCCCAGACUCCUACGGGAGGCAGCAGUGGGGAAUAUUGCACAAUGGGCGGAAGCCUGAUGCAGCAACGCCGCGUGCGGGAUGACGGCCUUCGUGUUGUAAACCGCUUUCGCCUGUGACGAAGCGUGAGUGACGGUAAUGGGUAAAGAAGCACCGGCUAACUACGUG
This 468-nucleotide ribosomal RNA is filed under the name uncultured bacterium. RNAcentral describes it as "partial 16S ribosomal RNA". It matches the Rfam family "Bacterial small subunit ribosomal RNA", at positions 28 to 507 of the family's 1533-position model. The record is from RNAcentral.